AGGAGGCAGCAGUGAGGAAUAUUGCGCAAUGGGGGAAACCCUGACGCAGCAACGCCGCGUGGGUGAAGAAGGCUUUCGGGUUGUAAAGCCCUGUCAGGCGGGAAGAAACCUCUGUAGUCGAAUAGGCUGCAGAACUGACGGUACCGCCAAAGGAAGCACCGGCUAACUCCGUGCCAGCAGCCGCGGUAAGACGGAGGGUGCAAGCGUUGUUCGGAAUCACUGGGCGUAAAGCGCGUGUAGGCGGUCUGAUAAGUCGAGUGUGAAAGCCCGAGGCUCAACCUCGGAAGUGCAUUCGAAACUGUCAGGCUUGAGUACGGGAGAGGGAAGUGGAAUUCCUGGUGUAGAGGUGAAAUUCGUAGAUAUCAGGAGGAACACCGGUGGCGAAGGCGGCUUCCUGGACCGAUACUGACGCUGAGACGCGAAAGCGUGGGGAGCAAACAGGAUUAGAUACCCGGGUAGUCC
RNAcentral lists this ribosomal RNA (462 nucleotides) under uncultured bacterium. RNAcentral's name for it is "bacterial SSU rRNA". It matches the Rfam family "Bacterial small subunit ribosomal RNA", at positions 343 to 796 of the family's 1533-position model. The record is from RNAcentral.